RNAcentral lists this long non-coding RNA (451 nucleotides) under Pongo abelii (Sumatran orangutan). RNAcentral's name for it is "lincRNA". The record is from RNAcentral. Lineage: Eukaryota; Metazoa; Chordata; Mammalia; Primates; Hominidae.
UUUUAACUUCUAGCCAUGGCGAACGAUCCCAGGGGAGCAUAGACUGAACCCCUCUAUGAACUCUCUUGGAGUGGAUCAGACUGAUGAUCACCAACAACCAGCUCAUUCCCGGAUAAGGAAGAAGAGAGUGUUACCCACUUCAGUGUGGUUUCAACCCCACUUCUACAUCUUAAAGACAUUUGUACAGCGUUGGACACUGUGCAGGAUGAUGCCACUUCAUCUUGGAUGCUAAUCUGCCAUGUUGACUUCUGAUUAACCCCAGGCCCAGGAAUGCCUCAAGAUUUCUACUUUAUGUACUGUUGCUUGUGUAAGCCAAGACAACCUUGAUGUUAUCAUAAACAUGUACUUACCUAAGUCCUGUCCUUUUGCAAAUUAUGGGCUAUGAGACACAGCGUUCUUACCUUUCCCUGAGGGGUCAAUUUCAGCGAUCCUACACAUUCCUUCUGAAGCA